This 253-nucleotide ribosomal RNA is filed under the name uncultured bacterium. Its description in RNAcentral is "partial 16S ribosomal RNA". It matches the Rfam family "Bacterial small subunit ribosomal RNA", at positions 524 to 776 of the family's 1533-position model. The record is from RNAcentral.
UACGGAGGGGGCAAGCGUUGUUCGGAAUUAUUGGGCGUAAAGCGUAUGUAGGCGGCAAAGUAAGUCAGGCGUGCAAGCCCGUGGCUCAACCACGGAAUUGCGUUUGAAACUACUUAGCUUGAGUACAGGAGAGGAAAGCGGAAUUCCCAGUGUAGCGGUGAAAUGCAUUGAUAUUGGGAAGAACAUCUGUGGCGAAGGCGGCUUUCUGGUCUGUUACUGACGCUGAGAUACGAAAGCCAGGGGAGCAAAGGGG